This 45-nucleotide non-coding RNA is filed under the name Schistosoma margrebowiei. Lineage: Eukaryota; Metazoa; Platyhelminthes; Trematoda; Strigeidida; Schistosomatidae. The record is from RNAcentral.
AUCUGUCUGAUGAGUCCUAAAUAAGACGAAACGCGCAUCCUGGAU